UUAAAUUGAAGAGUUUGAUCAUGGCUCAGAUUGAACGCUGGCGGCAGGCCUAACACAUGCAAGUCGAGCGGAAACGACACUAACAAUCCUUCGGGUGCGUUAAUGGGCGUCGAGCGGCGGACGGGUGAGUAAUGCCUAGGAAAUUGCCUUGAUGUGGGGGAUAACCAUUGGAAACGAUGGCUAAU
Molecule: ribosomal RNA, 185 nt
Filed under: Vibrio cyclitrophicus
Lineage: Bacteria; Pseudomonadati; Pseudomonadota; Gammaproteobacteria; Vibrionales; Vibrionaceae
Description: partial 16S ribosomal RNA
Rfam family: Bacterial small subunit ribosomal RNA
Source: RNAcentral